Molecule: ribosomal RNA, 418 nt
Filed under: uncultured microorganism
Description: bacterial SSU rRNA
Rfam family: Bacterial small subunit ribosomal RNA
Source: RNAcentral
GAGUUUGAUCGUGGCUCAGAUUGAACGCUGGCGGCAGGCUUAACACAUGCAAGUCGAGCGGGGGAGAUUGCUUCGGUAAUUGACCUAGCGGCGGACGGGUGAGUAAUACUUAGGAAUCUGCCUAUUAAUGGGGGACAACAUCUCGAAAGGGAUGCUAAUACCGCAUACGCCCUACGGGGAAAGCAGGGGAUCACUUGUGACCUUGCGUUAAUAGAUGAGCCUAAGUCGGAUUGGCUAGUUGGUGGGGUAAAGGCCUACCAAGGCGACGAUCUGUAGCGGGUCUGAGAGGAUGAUCCGCCACACUGGGACUGAGACACGGCCCAGACUCCUACGGGAGGCAGCAGUGGGGAAUAUUGGACAAUGGGGGGAACCCUGAUCCAGCCAUGCGCGUGUGUGAAGAAGGCCUUAUGGUUGUAAA